GAUGAAGAACGUAGCGAAAUGCGAUACGUAAUGUGAAUUGCAGAAUUCAGUGAAUCAUCGAGUCUUUGAACGCACAUUGCGCCCAUUAGUAUUCUAGUGGGCAUGCCUGUUCGAGCGUCAUUUCAACCCUUAAGCCUCUGUUGCUUAGCGUUGGGAGCCUACCUACCCGGUAGAUCCUCAAAGUUAGCUGGCAGGGUCGAGGUUCGCCCUAAGCGUAGUAGUUCUUUCUCGCUUCUGCGGCUGCCUAGGCCAUCGCCACAAGCCUUUUAAACUUCAAUGGUUGACCUCGGAUCAGGUAGGAAUACCCGCUGAACUUAAGCAUAUCAAUAAGCGGAGGA
RNAcentral lists this unclassified non-coding RNA (338 nucleotides) under soil metagenome. RNAcentral describes it as "partial contains 5.8S ribosomal RNA, internal transcribed spacer 2, and large subunit ribosomal RNA". The stretch from base 1 to 120 matches the Rfam family "5.8S ribosomal RNA", at positions 35 to 154 of the family's 154-position model. The record is from RNAcentral.